This 983-nucleotide long non-coding RNA is filed under the name Aquilegia coerulea. RNAcentral describes it as "long non-coding RNA (ACOE_LNC001045)". The record is from RNAcentral. Lineage: Eukaryota; Viridiplantae; Streptophyta; Magnoliopsida; Ranunculales; Ranunculaceae.
UCAUGAAGAGAUCUUUUCGAUGAGCCAGCCAUUCAACUAAGGUAAACAAGUUAAUCUGAAUCUGCCUAGGCCGACCAAGGUUCCCACUGGUACGUUGGCUAACCUUAUCUAGGAAUCAAGGAGCCAGCCAUUCAACUAAGGUAAACAAGUUAAUCUGAAUCUGCCUAGGCCGACCAAGGUUCCCACUGGUACGUUGGCUAACCUUAUCUAGGAAUCAAGGAUAAUGCUCCAAAGUACCUCUAAGUACGUUAUUAUACCUGCCUACACGUGUUGCUCAGUUUGCCAGGAGUCACAUAGAAGAACUUAAGACCAGGUGUACCAGAUAAACUAGAAGAGAUAGAAUGUACAACCGUAAUCAUGGAAUACAACUAAGAUAUAAUGAAAGGCAAGGGAGCUUACACGUAAGAGGGCAAGAACCGUUGGAUCCAGGUAAGAUCCGAUGGACAUAACAGUAAUCAGAGUACACUCUAUAAAUAGGUAAAAACCCUAAGGUUAAGGUAUGUUUUUCACUUAUUCUACUUUUAUUAAGUCUUCUUCUCCUCCUCACUUGAUACUAACUUGAGCGUUGGAGUGCUAACGCUGGCAUCAACACCGGUGUGUUUUGCAGGAUUAAGAAGGAAGAACUAGGUGAGCAUUCAGUCAUGACAGACUUCAUGGUGUAAGCUGCUGGACAAACUUACAGUACAAAUGGGGCAAGCCAAUUUGACGUCUAAGCUAGUGUGCCAUUAAUUACAAAAAUCUUGUGGCGGUAAUUAAAUACUGUAACGAUCAUUUUGUUUCAAACCAUUUGUUUUACCAUAGAGAGUUCAACAUUAUGAAUUCUGAUGCUUUGUUGUUGGAUGGCUCACAUGCCUGAGCAACCAUAGAAAUUGUAUUAAGCCAGCACUAUGUUACGGUUGUUUAGUUACGAGUCAAUUUCAUUGUUGUAAAUAAGUAAUUUAGACAAAAAAAACUUUAAUUAUAUUAUGUAAAUUGCACUGAAA